This 250-nucleotide ribosomal RNA is filed under the name uncultured bacterium. RNAcentral's name for it is "partial 16S ribosomal RNA". It matches the Rfam family "Bacterial small subunit ribosomal RNA", at positions 355 to 622 of the family's 1533-position model. The record is from RNAcentral.
UGGGGAAUCUUGGACAAUGGGCGCAAGCCUGAUCCAGCCAUGCCGCGUGAGUGACGAAGGCCUUAGGGUUGUAAAACUCUUUCGCCGGUGAAGAUAAUGACGGUAGCCGGAGAAGAAGCCCCGGCUAACUUCGUGCCAGCAGCCGCGGUAAUACGAAGGGGGCUAGCGUUGUUCGGAAUUACUGGGCGUAAAGCGCACGUAGGCGGAUUUGUAAGUUGGGGGUGAAAUCCCGGGGCUCAACCCCGGAAUU